Molecule: ribosomal RNA, 448 nt
Filed under: uncultured prokaryote
Description: bacterial SSU rRNA
Rfam family: Bacterial small subunit ribosomal RNA
Source: RNAcentral
UCGGGAAUCUUGCACAAUGGGCGAAAGCCUGAUGCAGCAACGCCGUGUGAGCGAGGAAGGUCUUCGGAUCGUAAAGCUCUGUUGUUGGGGACGAAGGGCGAAGGGUUAAUAGCCCCUAGCCUGACGGUACCCUUCGAGGAAGCCCCGGCUAACUACGUGCCAGCAGCCGCGGUAAUACGUAGGGGGCGAGCGUUGUCCGGAAUCACUGGGCGUAAAGGGCACGUAGGCGGUCUAGUAAGUCCGAUGUUAAAGCGUGGGGCUCAACCCCAUCACGGCGUUGGAUACUGCUAGGCUUGACGACUGGAGAGGUGAGUAGAAUUACCAGUGUAGCGGUGGAAUGCGUAGAUACUGGUAGGAAUACCCAUUGCGAAGGCAGCUCACUGGACAGUACGUGACGCUGAGGUGCGAAAGUGUGGGGAGCAAACCGGAUUAGAUACCCGCGUAGUCC